This is a long non-coding RNA of Aquila chrysaetos chrysaetos, 389 nucleotides long. RefSeq lists it as uncharacterized. The transcript has 2 exons. The record is from RefSeq and is a predicted model, not a curated record. Lineage: Eukaryota; Metazoa; Chordata; Aves; Accipitriformes; Accipitridae.
UCUGUCUCUUCCCUGGUCCAGGCCGACCAGUGAUCUAAUCGCGGCACCUUGAUAUGUAGCACUGCUACACCCUGGCAUUUAAGAAGUCAGCUGGCAGAAGAGAUUGGUUCAAUAAAACUUCUGAAAUCAAUCAAGACUGAAGAAUUUGUGUUAAAAUAUUUGGUGAGCUGUAUGAAUUCUUUAAUUAAAGGCAAGAGUGUCUCAGCCAGGCUGUGAAGGAGAUGGAAGACUGUACAUGUGAAAUACCUCCAGCAACUGCUUUCUCUCUUAUUUAGCUGGAAAUAGACAUAUAAGCAAAAGUGUUAAUGUUUGGAGAUAUCAUUACAGUGAAUGCUUGAGCUAUAUGCUAAAGUUACACUGACAUAUUAAACAUAAAAAGUUAUUUGCAA